GAUGAACGCUAGCGGCAGGCCUAAUACAUGCAAGUCAAGGGGCCAGCAAUGGCACCGGCGGACGGGUGCGUAACGCGUACACAACGUACCUCUGACAGGGGGAUAGCAUUGGGAAACUGGUGGUAAUACCCCAUAGUAUUGCUGGGAGGCAUUUCUCGGCGAUUAAAGUUACGGCGGUCAGAGAUCGGUGUGCGUCCGAUUAGCUAGUUGGCGGGGUAACGGCCCACCAAGGCGACGAUCGGUAGGGGGUGUGAGAGCAUGACCCCCCACAUGGGUACUGAGACACGGACCCAACUCCUACGGGAGGCAGCAGUAAGGAAUAUUGGACAAUGGUCGGAAGACUGAUCCAGCCAUGCCGCGUGAAGGACGAAGGCGCUCAGCGUUGUAAACUUCUUUUGGAUGGGGAUAAUAACCUCGAUUUAUCGGGGCUUGAAGGUACCAUCAGAAUAAGCACCGGCUAACUCCGUG
RNAcentral lists this ribosomal RNA (468 nucleotides) under uncultured bacterium. RNAcentral's name for it is "bacterial SSU rRNA". It matches the Rfam family "Bacterial small subunit ribosomal RNA", at positions 28 to 507 of the family's 1533-position model. The record is from RNAcentral.